GACGAACGCUGGCGGCGUGCCUAAUACAUGCAAGUUGAGCGAUGAAGAUUGGUGCUUGCACCAAUUUGAAGAGCAGCGAACGGGUGAGUAACGCGUGGGGAAUCUGCCUUUGAGCGGGGGACAACAUUUGGAAACGAAUGCUAAUACCGCAUAAUAACUUUAAACAUAAGUUUUAAGUUUGAAAGAUGCAAUUGCAUCACUCAAAGAUGAUCCCGCGUUGUAUUAGCUAGUUGGUGAGGUAAAGGCUCACCAAGGCGAUGAUACAUAGCCGACCUGAGAGGGUGAUAGGCCACAUUGGGACUGAGACACGGCCCAAACUCCUACGGGAGGCAGCAGUAGGGAAUCUUCGGCAAUGGACGAAAGUCUGACCGAGCAACGCCGCGUGAGUGAAGAAGGUUUUCGGAUCGUAAAACUCUGUUGGUAGAGAAGAACGUUGGUGAGAGUGGAAAGCUCAUCAAGUGACGGUAACUACCCAGAAAGGGACGGCUAACUACGUG
This 497-nucleotide ribosomal RNA is filed under the name uncultured bacterium. RNAcentral's name for it is "partial 16S ribosomal RNA". It matches the Rfam family "Bacterial small subunit ribosomal RNA", at positions 28 to 507 of the family's 1533-position model. The record is from RNAcentral.